GGACCAGUGAUGUAGCUCAACUAGCUGGACUAGCAGCCGGGAACUCUGGGCUUGAGCCCCAGCACCUCAGGAACCAGGGAUGGAGGCAAGAAGAUCAGAGAUUCAGGAGCAACCUGGACCUGAAACCCUGCCUCACAGAAGCACAGUUAUUUGGAAAACUGAUUGUAAUUUUUGAGGAGGAGAAAGGUAUUAAGUUGAGCUAGUGCUCUGGUGUAUUGUGACCAUGUAUCUGUCUGCUUCUUGUGUUCCAGGUCUCACCAAUGGCUUUGGGGGUACUAGAAGCGAGCAGGAGCCAGGCAGCGGCCCAGGGAGGAAAGCUGCGCCCCGACGGCGCUGUGCAUCUGAGUCCAGCAUUUGUUCCAGCAACAGCCCACUGUGUGACUCAAGCUUUAGUACACCCAAGUGUGGCC
This 410-nucleotide long non-coding RNA is filed under the name Rattus norvegicus (Norway rat). RNAcentral describes it as "long non-coding RNA NONRATT027213". The record is from RNAcentral. Lineage: Eukaryota; Metazoa; Chordata; Mammalia; Rodentia; Muridae.